RNAcentral lists this transfer-messenger RNA (479 nucleotides) under Brevibacterium casei. RNAcentral's name for it is "transfer-messenger RNA, SsrA". The stretch from base 104 to 479 matches the Rfam family "transfer-messenger RNA". Rfam says of the family: Bacterial tmRNA, also known as 10Sa RNA or SsrA, is named for its dual tRNA and mRNA-like properties. Its role is to liberate the mRNA from a stalled ribosome. RNAcentral also lists the same sequence under 1 other name. The record is from RNAcentral. Lineage: Bacteria; Bacillati; Actinomycetota; Actinomycetes; Micrococcales; Brevibacteriaceae.
GGGAAUGCAAUUGGAUCGGCCGGUGUUGAGAGAGUAUGCUGGUGUUCCUGUCCGAUGGAACCUGUCAGCGCAGGUGACAUGGACAGGAUUGGCAACAGAAUAUGGGGAUGAUCGGUUUCGACGUUGGACACUGCGUCGGGAGAAGCGGGCCGAGAAUGCAGAGUCAUCUCGUUAAUGUCCUCUGCAAAACAAUAGGUGCUAAAUCUGAAAACCGCACCGAUUUCGCCCUCGCUGCCUGAUAGAGCGCGAGCUGCGAAUCCGUCAGCCUAGAGUUGCCUCUGCUCUAGAUCCUGGCGUCGCUUAAGGGGCCACUGCUUCAGAUGCACGUUGGGGGCAUCUGAGGGACUCUUACCCAACUCCGUUCGUUGGUCUACGUGUUCGUGCGAUGGCCAGAACCUAAGAGACUGCUUCACGAACUGCGCCCGGAGAAGUCCUGACAAUCUGCCGACGGACGCGGGUUCGAUUCCCGCCAUCUCCAC